GUCCACGCCCUAAACGAUGAUCACUCGAUGUGUGCGAUAUACAGUACGCGUCUGAGCGAAAGCAUUAAGUGAUCCACCUGGGGAGUACGACCGCAAGGUUGAAACUCAAAGGAAUUGACGGGGGCCCGCACAAGCGGAGGAGCAUGUGGUUUAAUUCGAUGAUACGCGAGGAACCUUACCAGGGCUUGAAAGUUAGUGAAGGAUGUGGAAACAUGUCCGUCAGCAAUGACACGAAACUAGGUGCUGCAUGGCUGUCGU
RNAcentral lists this ribosomal RNA (258 nucleotides) under uncultured bacterium. Its description in RNAcentral is "partial 16S ribosomal RNA". It matches the Rfam family "Bacterial small subunit ribosomal RNA", at positions 793 to 1055 of the family's 1533-position model. The record is from RNAcentral.